This 216-nucleotide ribosomal RNA is filed under the name Glomeromycotina sp. Its description in RNAcentral is "partial small subunit ribosomal RNA". The stretch from base 40 to 216 matches the Rfam family "Eukaryotic small subunit ribosomal RNA", at positions 686 to 864 of the family's 1831-position model. The record is from RNAcentral. Lineage: Eukaryota; Fungi; Glomeromycota.
GGGUCAGUAGGUUGGUCGUGCCACCGGUACGUACUGGUCUCACUGAUUCCUCCUUCCUGAAGAACCGUAAUGCCAUUAAUUUGGUGUUGCGGGGAAACAGGAGUGUUACUUUGAAAAAAUUAGAGUGUUUAAAGCAAGCUAACGCUUGAAUACAUUAGCAUGGAAUAAUGAAAUAGGACGAUCGAUCCUAUUUUGUUGGUUUCUAGGAUUGACGUA